Talpa occidentalis (Iberian mole) is the source of this 907-nucleotide long non-coding RNA. RefSeq lists it as uncharacterized. The record is from RefSeq and is a predicted model, not a curated record. The transcript is spliced from 5 exons. Lineage: Eukaryota; Metazoa; Chordata; Mammalia; Eulipotyphla; Talpidae.
GUUACUUGGUGACGGCGAUGGCGGAGCAGCUACGAGAGAAAGAGACCACGGAGAGAAUGCCAGAGAAAGCCCAGAGAAAAGCGUGUAUAGAGAUUCAAAGGGGGCUCAAGUUGCUGUCUCCCAGCUGGUGUGCUUCCCCUAACCUGUAGGGAUGGUGCCACGGGCUCCGACUUUCUCUUUCAAGUCUCUAGAACUGAUGGUGAACCCACCCGGCCUGAGAUGGUCGCAAAACAAGCUAUUCCAAACGCAUGAUGCUGCUGCUGUUGACGGCAGGAGAACAACAGUGCCUGGUGUGAAUACAAUACGCAUUUUUCCCAUGUGGCUCUGAACUCUGCUUAGGAAACUAUCUUUGGCAGUAUUUGUGAGGAUUGCCAGCUUCAGCCAAGCAACCAUUCACUUGAACGAAGGAGAAGCCCAGUGGAGAAUGUAAAGUUGGCGAGCAGUUGGACUAGAGAUACCAGGGGCUUCGCAGAGGCUUUCCUUAAGGAUUUCUAAACAAAGGCAAAAGUUUCAGAAACUCCAAAUGAUGUGAUAAGAGUUUCCAAUAGACGCACUGAUUACUGCUUAUCAGAACUGAAGUUUUAAAUCAGAUUGAAUCUUUCUCACCAAUUUAAAAACUUAGAAAAUGGGACACUAAAUUUUGAAGUUGCAUGAAGUUGUGUUCUAUCCAAUUCAAAAGGAGAUCCAGUUAGUAAUGGCACAGCAUCCAGGGGAACAGUAGCUCUACCUAAUCAGUGAAAGAAGACAUUCCAAUUGAAAAAAGUCAAGAAUUACAAGUAUGAGCAUAUUACUUGAGACAUGAUGGUGACUGCCAAGGGAAUAUAAGUUAUCACAAGUUUACUUUAUAUUAAUAUCCCAGUACUAUUUAAGUUUUAAACUUAAUGUAUAUGUUACUUAUAAACUAAAU